Molecule: RNA transcript, 2015 nt
Organism: Zea mays
Lineage: Eukaryota; Viridiplantae; Streptophyta; Magnoliopsida; Poales; Poaceae
Exons: 12
Source: RefSeq, marked validated
AGCCUGACAACCGCGAGCCACUGCACCCAUCCACUCGUACGCCGCGGUGCGCCGCAGCCCGCAGCCCGCAGCCCGCAGCCCGCAGCCCGCGACUCCAGGCAUCCACAAAAAACCAUCUCCCCCGCGGCCCCGGCACCGCACGCUCCCGACCCGGCGAGUCCCACUCCCACCUAAGCUGAGCGGCCAUGGCGCGGCACCUCGCGCCUUCGUCUGGAAGCCUCCACCGUCUCCUCGCGUCCUGCCACUACCCGCCCACCUCCCAGGCGCCGCCUCCCCGUCCGCUCCUCCUCCCGAAGACCCGAUCGGCGGCUAUGCAGCUCCCGCGACGCGGGCGGCGCGACGUCGUCGCCGCUGCAGCUGCCUCCGCACCGUCCCCCUCUUCUCCGGGUACCGAGGUGGCAGUCUGGGGUAAGGUCUCCGCCGUGCUCUUCGAUAUGGAUGGCGUUCUCUGCAACAGCGAGGAGCCCUCGCGACAGGCCGGCGUCGACGUCUUCGCUGAGAUGGGAGUCGAGGUCGCCGUGGAUGACUUUGUCCCCUUCAUGGGCACUGGUGAGGCCAAUUUCCUUGGAGGUGUCGCAAGAGCUAAAGGAGUGAAAGAUUUCAAUCCUGAAAGUGCCAAGAAGAGAUUUUUUGAGAUAUAUCUUGACAAGUACGCAAAGCCAAAUUCUGGCAUCGGAUUCCCUGGGGCUCUGGAGCUCAUCUUGGAGUGCAAAAAUUCUGGUCUUAAGGUUGCCGUUGCAUCCAGUGCCGACAGGAUUAAGGUGGAUGCCAAUCUGGCUGCUGCUGGUUUGUCCGUGUUUCUAUUUGAUGCUAUUGUUUCUGCUGAUGCGUUUGAAAAAUUGAAGCCCGCUCCGGAUAUAUUCCUGGCAGCAUCAAAGAGCUUAGGUGUCGACACAAAUGAGUGCAUUGUGAUAGAAGACGCGCUUGCUGGUGUUCAAGCUGCUAAUGCUGCAGAAAUGAGAUGUAUCGCUGUGACAACUACUCUAGAGGAAAUAGCGUUACGACAAGGCAGUCCCUCGUUCAUACGAAAGAAUAUUGGAGACAUUUCAAUUAACGACAUUUUGUAUGGUGGUUCUAAUGCUCGCCACAAUGAAGGGGCAGGAAGUACUGAGAAUAGUAGUUCGGUAGGGAAUGCUUUGUCUGAGAGUCUAAACGGAGCAACUGCUGCUGGACAUUCUGACACAAAAGGUUUUCCAAUCUCAAAAAAUAAAGGGCUGUUGGGUUCUCGACGCGAAAUAUUGAGAUAUGGAAGUCUGGGAAUAGCCUUGUCCUGCCUUUUUGUUGCAGUCAGAAAUUGGAAGGCAAUGCAGUUCGCAUCUCCCAAAGGCCUACUGAAUUUUCUCAUGGGUGGAAAUAGUUCAGUUUUUGCCAGAAAUGAAGGUACACAGUGCACCUAGGCAUCACCAUCCUGUCUUGCACCUCUUGCACCAAUGGUACCUGGCCACCCACUUCGGGCUGCCACUUUUUAAACACAGCACAAUGCUGUUGGGUAAUUGGAAAUUCCAUCAGGCAUAAUGCAUGUUGAUGGUGCCAUUGUUGGCUUUAGGCUGGGCCUGCAAAGUAACCGUAGUGACAAAUUCUUUUUAGCAUGCCUAGAGAGAUUGAAACCUAGCUAGGAAACAUUUGGAUCUGAAGCUAUUUUGAAGAUUGGUCUCCAGUUGUUAUGUGUGUCUUGCAGGAGAAUCUCUGUCAUCAAGAGUUCAACAAAUAAAGAAGUAUCUAGCUGAGUUUGAAUCUGGGGGUUCUGCCACAUAUGUUCCUGAGUUUCCAAGAAAGCUUGACUGGUUGAAUACAGCCCCACUUCAGUUUGGAAGAGUAAUUUAGAACUCAUCUUAGGUUAUUAUCGUAGCUGCAACUUUGCUACAGUAUUAAUUGCAUGCCCUUUGUUCUGGAUUUAAACUAGAAGAUCUUGCAUGCAUCUCUAUCACCCUAUUCUAUGGGGCAGCCAGAUUGUAAUUAACAUGAUCCAAAAGUUUCAGUCUUCUAGCAUCUGCAAAGAAAUUUCAGUUACUGUU